This 74-nucleotide transfer RNA is filed under the name Anguilla anguilla (European eel). Its description in RNAcentral is "tRNA-OTHER". Lineage: Eukaryota; Metazoa; Chordata; Actinopteri; Anguilliformes; Anguillidae. The record is from RNAcentral.
GCACAGUGGUGCAGUGGGUAGCACUGUUGCCUCACAGCAAGAAGGAAUCCUGGGUUUGAAUCCCAGCCUGGGCC